GUGCUCCGCAGGGCGCAGCUUUAUACGACCGCAGAGGUCGAACCUUGAACAGUUGUGGCAAGUAUGGACAAAACAUUCAAGCGUGAUACAGCUCUGAAUUUGGAUUGUGAUCAAAUUUUUGACAUUAUAUGGGUUUUUUACACAAAACAAAUGUCAAGAUUUUUACAAAUCAAUGAAAGAUUUCUUCUUCAAACUUAUUUAAAUCUAAAAUUAAAUAGUUGACACAGCAUAGGUUUCUGACACAGAAUGAAUG
This 253-nucleotide long non-coding RNA is filed under the name Mytilus galloprovincialis (Mediterranean mussel). The record is from RNAcentral. Lineage: Eukaryota; Metazoa; Mollusca; Bivalvia; Mytilida; Mytilidae.